Molecule: ribosomal RNA, 429 nt
Filed under: Actinomycetes bacterium
Lineage: Bacteria; Bacillati; Actinomycetota; Actinomycetes
Description: Actinobacteria bacterium partial 16S ribosomal RNA
Rfam family: Bacterial small subunit ribosomal RNA
Source: RNAcentral
UAGGGAAUCUUCCGCAAUGGGCGAAAGCUUGACGGAGCAACGCCGCGUGAGUGAUGAAGGUCUUCGGAUCAUAAAACUCUGUUAUUAGGGAAGAACAAAUGUGUAAGUAACUAUGCACGUCUUGACGGUACCUAAUCAGAAAGCCACGGCUAACUACGUGCCAGCAGCCGCGGUAAUACGUAGGUGGCAAGCGUUAUCCGGAAUUAUUGGGCGUAAAGCGCGCGUAGGCGGUUUUUUAAGUCUGAUGUGAAAGCCCACGGCUCAACCGUGGAGGGUCAUUGGAAACUGGAAAACUUGAGUGCAGAAGAGGAAAGUGGAAUUCCAUGUGUAGCGGUGAAAUGCGCAGAGAUAUGGAGGAACACCAGUGGCGAAGGCGACUUUCUGGUCUGUAACUGACGCUGAUGUGCGAAAGCGUGGGGAUCAAACAGG